UUAGCAUGAUGAUUGAUUUGUCAGUUCUGCUUCUGAAGGCACAGAGAAGACACUUUUACCACACUCCUGAAGU
This is a small nucleolar RNA of Aethina tumida (small hive beetle), 73 nucleotides long. The record is from RefSeq and is a predicted model, not a curated record. Lineage: Eukaryota; Metazoa; Arthropoda; Insecta; Coleoptera; Nitidulidae.